RNAcentral lists this long non-coding RNA (4986 nucleotides) under Salmo salar (Atlantic salmon). RNAcentral describes it as "lncRNA (ENSSSAG00000085387.1)". The record is from RNAcentral. Lineage: Eukaryota; Metazoa; Chordata; Actinopteri; Salmoniformes; Salmonidae.
CUGAUCAACACUCAAACGUCGUCUAAACUACUUCUACAAACGAGGCUACACUUGUGGCAGCACCUAUUCCUGUGGCCCCCCCAUCUUCUGCACCACUUCCUGUGGCCUCCCCUCCACCAUUCCCUGAGGCUUAUCGUCCACCUUCACCACACUCUUCUGUUGAUGUUGGUGAUGACAAUGAUGUUGACCUCCAAACACUGCUGAAGUUAAUGAGAUGCCAACCAAAUGAACGUGGUGAGGGACAACGUUUAUGAUUGUGCAAUGAGAGGCUUCAAGAGAGCCCGCUUUAAUCAGGAGGCAAAAAUUGACACGUUUUUUAGGGAUGCUGACGGUAAAGGGGCAGCUGAUGAGGGUGGUCCCUCAUGAGAAUUUCCCCAGCUGCUAAUGAGUGCCAUCCAUUCCUCUGCAAUAUUUGAGGGACCUGAUUGACAAAAAUGCCUUUCUUGCAACUCUCAAGCACUCUAUGAUGGCGUAUACAAGCAGGUGGGCCGCAUGAUUGCUGUCUGUCUGGUACAUGGGGGUGUAGAGACACCAUUUUUUCAGAGAGGCUAUACAGGCAAGUGUGUGGCCUAAAACCUCCUGUGCCAGAACUGAAAGAAAUUGCGGAAUAUGACUUCAGAGAGAAGUUGGAGAAGGGGGGAACACAUACUCUUUAACCAUGGAGAAGGUUUUCGUUUUCACUUCAGGGGCUUCAGCAUUCCUAGGCUGGGAUUGCCAGUGGAGCCACAACUACAGUUCUCUGCAACCGCACAGCAAGCGGUACCGGAGCGCCAAGUCUAGGUCCAAGAGGCUUCUAAACAGCUUCUACCCCCAAGCCAUAAGACUACUGAACAUCUAAUCAAAUGGCUACCCAGACUAUUUUCUGCUACUCUAUCUAUGCAUAGUCACUUUAAUAUCUCUACCUAUAUGUAUAUAUGACUAACCAGUGCCCCCGCACAUUCUCUGUACCUGUACUCCCCCUGUAUAUAGCUUCACUAUUGUUAUUUUCCUGAUGCUCUUUAAUUAUUUACUUUUUUUUUUUUUUUGUAGCUGCAUUGUUGUUUAAGGGCUUGUAAGUAAGCAUUUCACUGUAAGGUCUACACCUGUUGUAUUUGGUGCAUGUGACAAAGACAAUUUGAUUUGAUUUAAAGAAUUCAUUUAAGGGGAAUUAUCCAAAACGUUUAUUGCAUGACCACCUAGUAAAUUCGGAAUACUGCAGCCAAUGUUAAUUGAUGUGCUAGCUAGCUGACUUCUGUGGCUAGCUACCAUAGGUGAGAACGGGGGUUGAAAAUGCUUCGAGGGAAUCCAAAAGUGAAGGUGGAGGUAGGGGACGAUUAUGGCCAAGGAGGUGCGUGUGCAUGGACGUCGGAGGAUCUGGCUGAGGAGAUCGCCAGGACGUCGGAGCCCAGAGGCCGCUUGAGGGAGGACGUUAGAGUGAUGGUUGCUGAAGCGGGCAUGAGUGCUUCAUUGACUGUGCUUCGCGCGGAUUCUGGUGGGCGGACCGAAGGGGUGACGUCGACGAGGAAUCUGGGGCUCAGGAUGUAAACAAACAUGGCGGCGCCCAGCUCCCGGCUGUGUCCGUAUCUGUUAAGACCCCGACGUAUUCCGGUAAGGCGGAUUGGGAAGCUUUUCAUGCUCAGUUUGAACUGUUAGCUCAUUUUAGGGGAUGAUCACGGAUGAUGCUCUGGCCUGUUUGAUAUUGAUUAGCCCCGAGGACAGACGUGAUUAUGGUGCUUCAGUGGGAGCACUGAGGAGGCGCUAUGGACUGUAUGUACAGCCCGGCUGCUGCGCUCCGAACUGAGUAAUAGACGCAGGCAGCCUGGAGAGCCUCUACGGGUGCUAGCUAAUGACAUUAAGAGCCUCUCUCGGCCGGCAUAUGCUCACAUGCCCCCCUCCGUGCAGAGCGAGCUAGCACGGGACCAGUUCAUACAGGCGCUCUCCUACGGAGCUGCGCAUACAGACCCAGCUGGCUCAUCCUGAGUCAUUGCCGAUAGCUUUGGAGAGGGAGCUGGUGUGGGCUGGGGCUUUGGUGGGGGUGCAGGGAGACAGACCCUCUGUGCGGGCUGGGGGGCAGAGCAGCCCAGACCUGGAAAAGCCUGCAUGGGUGGCUGAAAUGACAGAACUCAUAGCGUGCUGUGUCGCUACCCUAGUCCCAGGGUCUGCUGGGGUUGUUGCCAGCCAGGCCAUCUGCGCAGGGGUUGCCCCUUGUCCCCCAGAGCUCAGGGAAACGGCUCGGGGUCCGCAUAGACCGGGUAGUGUGGACCCCUGGCUUUCUUUCCCAACCACCAUCUUCUUCAGGAGGAGCCCACCGGCCCAGACGGGGAAGCAAGGCUCCACUUCCCCCAGAAGCAGACGAGGGCAAGCGGAUGGAGCCUGUCGUUGUGAUGGGCCGGACCUGUGUUGGAGACUUUUGUCAUGUCCCUGUCACUGUGGAGGGUGUUCCCUGCUCUGCCCUGGUUGACACUGGGUCCACAGUAACCCUGGUGAGGCCGGAUAUUGUGCCAGGUUGGACUCAGUGUGAACCCACAACUGUGCAGCUCCGCACAGUCACAGGUGAGCUGGCACCCAUGAAAGGGAAGGGAAUAAUGACUCUGACAGUAGGGGGCAGGUCUGUGCGUCAUCCUGUGUGGGUGGCGGCUGUGCAGGACCCUUGCAUCCUGGGGUUGGACUUUCUUAGGCGCACAGGCUGGCAGUUAGACCUAAAUGGGGGAACACAGAGCUUCCAGGGAGGGCCGGCAGUCACCAUGGCCCCCCUAAUGUCACAUUCACUCAACCCAACAAACCCUUUACUCCAACAGUUAAAGCAGCAGAGACUCAUGGCUGCCCCCCCUCCCCCCACAUCUGUGUGACUUUUCCCCAGGCCCCCUGUCACCUACGGCUGUGCGUUACAUUCCCUCGGCUACCUCCACGACACAUCCCUCCGUGGCAGUUGCUGUUUGAAUUCAGAGACGGCUUUGCGCUGAGUGAGGAAGAGGUGGGUCAGACUCAUCUGGUGCAGCAUGAGAUCGACACAGGUGAUGCUUGACCCAUCAAGAUGCGUCCCCGCCGUAUCCCGCUGGCACGCCAGGAGGCGGCAGACAAGGCUGUGUUGAAAGGAGGGAGUAGUGUAACGACCCUGGGUUUAUAAGCGUGGAAAUCGACUCUGCCGCUCGAGCAUGCUUUUGCGGCACAGUCGAUAGCGCGCUGGACUUCGGGCUAGAAGGUCGAGGGUUCGAGACCUGCUGUUUCAUUACAUUGGUGUCAGAAGUGAUCGAACCUUGCAUCCACGACAGUGCGUGUGCUUGGCUGGUGAGCACGUUUCAAGACCUCCCUGCCUGUUUCAUUACAGUAUAUUUAGCAGCUGUAGGCGUUAACUUGACGUGUGCAGGACCGCUUGCAGCUGUUUAUUUAGCACAUGUUGAAAAAACGACUUUAUAUCGGUGUUAUAUGCAUGUUCACACGCGUAUCUGCCGUCUCAUUGACUAGAAUGGUCCCACUUCAACAGCUGAGGGAUAUACUGAUCGCCAAGGUGGAUUUCGUGGCAUUUUAUUGUGCAAGUGAUUAAUUGUACUGGCCAAAUGAGUCCAAGAAACUGGCCGUCGUAUCUGCGGGUGAAAGGUUCUUGGGUAUCCACGAUUUCACGGCUGAAACGUAAGGAAUACUGUCUGAAUAUGUUAUUCUUUCUCAGGCACCAGAGAGCCUGUAGCAAUCAGUUGUUUCAUUGUCAUUUGUUUAUUAUUUGGGAAGAAUGUGAUUUCUCUCCCCCUUUUUCUCUUAUUGUUUUAUUUGAUCUCGUAUACUACCCUGUACAGUGGGUGGCGGCAUGCACCUCUAACAUGUUUGCGUACCGCUAUAAUACCAUAGAAGAGUUGUCCCAACUGAUCGGUCAUGGCUAAAAGUUAAAUUAACGUCAAAAGUAGUUCAUUUUGCAUUUUAGCUAACUUUAACCUAAUUAUUCUAACCUGCUCCAGAAAGUAAAAUAUGACAAAACCCACCUGGUCUCUUCCUCGGGCCUGCCUUCCUUCUUUGAAGACAGAAAAACAGGAGAACUGUGCAAUGUCUGGAUAUGGAACGUCGGAAUCUACACCGAGAGAUUUGCCGACUAUCCUCAGGUGUUGUGAAGAGAAGGUUUGACUGGACGUUGUUACUGGGAGGCUGAGUGCGGUGGGAAAUCGUUUAAUGCAGGUGUGGCAUAUGAAGACAUGAGCAGGGUUGGAAAAGAGCUCAACUGUUUAUUUUGUUACAAUGACAAAUCCUGGAGCCUGAGACGCCUCAAACGUCGUUUCCUCAAACGCUGACAAAGUUGGGGUGUAGCUGAACUCCUCAAGGCAUUCUGUCCUAACAAGUCUACGACACACCUGCAUUUCACUCAACCUUCACUGAACCACUCUAUGCAAUACUGUCAGUCAGUGACUAUUCAUCAGUGUCUCCGUGCUUGGUCUCAAAUGAGGAGAAAAGGAGGAUGGCAGAUGGUUAAGAUAAUAUCCUGUUCGAGGGAGAGAUCAGUUGACUGAGAAAAUACAUUUGAAAAAAUUCACAAUAUUUUCCAUAAUGAUUUGAACAUUUCAAUGUUCUGAAUGACCUCCAUUCUUAACGUGUUUAUAUCGGAGGUCUUACUGUACACCUCAAACUAUUCAGAUUAACAGUAUACACCAUUCCAUGGUCUUAGUAAAAAAAAUGUUUUAAUAUUUUUAGAUGUGAUGCAUUUUUAUCUAAUAAAGUAAUUAACAUUUCUCAAGCACUUGACCCCAAACUCUGGUCUUCUUACCCCAAACCACCACACCUCUAACCCAGCAAGUAUGGGGAUAGUGAGAGAGAGCACACAGAGAUAGAGAAGCUGACAUAUGAAGUCAGCCAUGCUUGACUUGCACCGCACCAUCUGUCUCCCUCCAAAUUUUAAUGAGACACCAGGAAGGGGGGAGACUAGAGAAGAGGCUGGAUCCAUUCAAACAGACAUCUUGUUAGACUACAGCGCUUCUCCAAGGUAAUGGUCUGCUGGGUAUUUUUGCUGUAUAGUGGAUAGAUAGA